GCGAAACCAACGAGGGGAGAAUUAUAGCCACCUUUAACCCAAAAUAACGAUCAAACACGGUUCUUCAGACUCUUCCAAAAGGUGGGCGUAAAAAGUGAGCAUCAUUAGCGUAAAUCUGACACCUUCUCGCCAUUUUAGCUAUGUACGUACCCAUUUCACCUCGAAAUAAACCAUUUGCAUUUUUCGUUACCAAAAUUGUAGAAUUUUUGGAUAAUAUUAAUAAAAAAUUUAAAAUAUUGCACAA
Hermetia illucens (black soldier fly) is the source of this 244-nucleotide long non-coding RNA. RefSeq lists it as uncharacterized. NCBI's taxonomy places the organism in Eukaryota, Metazoa, Arthropoda, Insecta, Diptera, Stratiomyidae. The transcript is spliced from 3 exons. The record is from RefSeq and is a predicted model, not a curated record.